RNAcentral lists this unclassified non-coding RNA (330 nucleotides) under soil metagenome. Its description in RNAcentral is "partial contains 5.8S ribosomal RNA, internal transcribed spacer 2, and large subunit ribosomal RNA". The stretch from base 1 to 120 matches the Rfam family "5.8S ribosomal RNA", at positions 35 to 154 of the family's 154-position model. The record is from RNAcentral.
GAUGAAGAACGUAGCGAAAUGCGAUAAGUAAUGUGAAUUGCAGAAUUCAGUGAAUCAUCGAAUCUUUGAACGCACAUUGCGCCCUCUGGUAUUCCGGGGGGCAUGUCUGUUCGAGCGUCAUUAUAACCACUCAAGCUCUCGCUUGGUAUUGGGGUUCGCGGUUUCGCGGCCCCUAAAAUCAGUGGCGGUGCCUGUCGGCUCUACGCGUAGUAAUACUCCUCGCGAUUGAGUCCGGUAGGUCUACUUGCCAGCAACCCCUAAUUUUUUUAAGGUUGACCUCGGAUCAGGUAGGGAUACCCGCUGAACUUAAGCAUAUCAAUAAGCGGAGGA